RNAcentral lists this ribosomal RNA (324 nucleotides) under uncultured Spirochaetota bacterium. RNAcentral's name for it is "bacterial SSU rRNA". It matches the Rfam family "Bacterial small subunit ribosomal RNA", at positions 29 to 351 of the family's 1533-position model. The record is from RNAcentral. Lineage: Bacteria; Pseudomonadati; Spirochaetota.
AACGAACGCUGGCGGCGUGUCUUAAGCAUGCAAGUCGAGCGGCAAGGAUAGCAAUAUCCCUAGAGCGGCGGACUGGUGAGUAACACGUGGGUGAUCUGCCCUUGAGUUGGGGAUAGCCAUUAGAAAUAGUGGGUAAUACCGAAUACGUUGCCAAGCUUGCGAGCUUGGCAGGAAAGGCGCUACGGCGCCGCCCGAGGAUGAGCCCGCGCCUCAUUAGCUAGUUGGUGGGGUAAAGGCCUACCAAGGCGAUGAUGAGUAGCCGGCCUGAGAGGGUGUACGGCCACACUGGGACUGAGAUACGGCCCAGACUCCUACGGGUGGCAG